Sinocyclocheilus rhinocerous is the source of this 419-nucleotide long non-coding RNA. RefSeq lists it as uncharacterized. The record is from RefSeq and is a predicted model, not a curated record. The transcript has 3 exons. Lineage: Eukaryota; Metazoa; Chordata; Actinopteri; Cypriniformes; Cyprinidae.
ACACACACACUCAGCUGGAGGAGCGUUUGAAGCCGCAGACGCUGGACUUUCAUCACACAGGGGUCGAACUUUGAUUCUCCGUCAGACCUGAGACCUGCUUCUGUAUGCUGUUUAGAUCCUCUGUCACAAGUGUGUGUGUGUGUGUGUGUGUGUUUCAGGAGUGGCAGGGGGUUUAUUAUGCCAAAAAGAAGAACGGAGACAGUGUGCAGCAGAAUGUGAAGAUGACGCCUGUCAUUGGACAGGGAGGUAAAAUCAGGCACUGUGUGUCUGUUAACAGGCCUUUAAAUGACCAUAACAAGAAAGAAAAGUCCUGUGAGCAAGUCCAGGCCGAAUCACAGACAGGUACCAGAGUCACACAGUAUUUAUUUACACGUGAUUUGAUGAUUUUGACUAAUGCUUGAACUCAGAGAGAGAGAGUG